UGCUUAGUUCGGCCAAGCCCUGCUUAUUCUAACCAGUGGGAACUUGAUGGCCAGAGAGAGUUCUAAGAUGGGAAGACCCAGGAGCAAUGAACACCAAGCUUAGAAUGUCACAGAGUAAGCAGGAGGCAGUAUCCCUGGGAGAGGCCAAAGUCAAGUUGUUUCUUUGAUUACCAAGCCCAAAGAGGAAGGUUACCAUUUACUGCUGGCACUGAAAGCAAGUCCAGCAGAGUUUAAAGCAUGAGAAAGCAGGGCAAGAGGCAGAUUCCAAGUUCCAUGGGUACCAUUCUGAUACCCAGUGGGUGGAAGAUGCUGCUGAUCUAUUUUGCUUGAGAUAUGAAAGUGCUUUUGCCCUACUUUCUUCUGAGUUGCCCUUGUCUGACCUCAAAGACACACACUGUUCCAUGGUAACCAGCAUCUUAGGUUAGAUCCCUUAAGUCAUGUGCCUUCCUCCAUGCCAGCCAGCUUCCUGCUUGGGCUCUGGGCUCCACAGAGAUGAGGCUGGGAUCCUAGUCUAAAGGAGGAGGUUAAACAAAGAGGAGCUAAGAAACUAGGCCACAGCUUUUGUCCAUCAGAUGUGUGUUGUUUGAACCAAAGAGCUCCUGGUUUGACUCCUUUUAUGAAGAAGGAAGGACAUCAGUCUCUGCUUCCACAUACCCUGGCACCGGGCCUUCCACCAGCAAUCCCAUGGAAGUAUUUCCCACUGUGCUAAGUUUUGUUUGAGGAGAGCCAAGGCCUUGACUCACCAGCUUCUAAAGGAUUUGGUCAAGCAGUGAUGCAGGGUGUUAAGUUCCUACCCACUGCCUCGAGUUUGCUGGCUUUCCAGACAACUCAGGGGGCUUGACACGUCACCAGUCUGGAGCACUCCCAUGUGGUCUGGAAAGGAAUGCAUCUGAGAGGAGCUGAAACAGAAAAAUUGGUCAUGGAACACUUAGUAGUUUUGUUUUGAUCUUGGCCAUCCCAAUAAGGAAAAUCGCUCAUUAAAGUUUUUGUUACGCUUUAAACUAGACUUCCAUUCUGGAAGAGGAGGGUGCAGGCAGGUGUUCUUACAAAUGGCCCAGUGCUGGAGGAGGCGGCCUGGUGGGUGGAUCACCAACAAAAGGAUCAGGUCCUGUUAAUUUCUCUGCAACAGGCAAUCUGCACAUCUGGCAACACUAGCUGACACCUUUGAGGGCUCUUUCUGCUCAGAUUUGAAAAUGGAAAUUUGGAUUUCUGCAUCUUUUCUGUGAUGACCCAGGUAGCCCCAGUGAGGUGGACCUUGCCAAAUGCAAAGAUACUUCUUGAAAGACAUAAUAAAGACAUCACAUACAUAAUAAAGACAUCACAAAGAUGAUUCUGGAGUUACUUGAUGUCAGCUUAGCUUGGGU
RNAcentral lists this long non-coding RNA (1364 nucleotides) under Mustela putorius furo (domestic ferret). RNAcentral's name for it is "lncRNA (ENSMPUG00000025529.1)". Lineage: Eukaryota; Metazoa; Chordata; Mammalia; Carnivora; Mustelidae. The record is from RNAcentral.